AGAGUCACAAGGGUGAAUUUCAUGCUCUCCAGAUACAAUCCCCACAACCAAACCACUCUCCCAGGUAAAGACCCUUACAUCUUUAUGGUGGAUGCUGUUGGAAUAGUUCAAGCCCUGGAAAGGAUGGGUGUCUGUGAAGAAAGAGAAAGUACCUGAGAAAGUGAAGUCGGUGCUUAUGGACCGAAUGUGUGGCAACUCGGGGGAAAGAG
This 209-nucleotide long non-coding RNA is filed under the name Marmota monax (woodchuck). Lineage: Eukaryota; Metazoa; Chordata; Mammalia; Rodentia; Sciuridae. The record is from RNAcentral.